GGGUUGUGAGGUUAAGCGACUAAGCGUACACGGUGGAUGCCCUGGCAGUCAGAGGCGAUGAAGGGCGUGCUAAUCUGCGAUAAGCGCCGGUAAGGUGAUAUGAACCGUUAUAACCGGCGAUACCCGAAUGGGGAAACCCAGUGUGAUUCGUCACACUAUCAUUAACUGAAUCCAUAGGUUAAUGAGGCGAACCGGGGGAACUGAAACAUCUAAGUACCCCGAGGAAAAGAAAUCAACCGAGAUUCCCCCAGUAGCGGCGAGCGAACGGGGAGGAGCCCAGAGCCUGAAUCAGCAUGUGUGUUAGUGGAAGCGUCUGGAAAGGCGCGCGAUACAGGGUGACAGCCCCGUACACAAAAGCGCAUGUGCUGUGAGCUCGAUGAGUAGGGCGGGACACGUGGUAUCCUGUCUGAAUAUGGGGGGACCAUCCUCCAAGGCUAAAUACUCCUGACUGACCGAUAGUGAACCAGUACCGUGAGGGAAAGGCGAAAAGAACCCCGGCGAGGGGAGUGAAAAAGAACCUGAAACCGUGUACGUACAAGCAGUGGGAGCACCCUUUGGGGUGUGACUGCGUACCUUUUGUAUAAUGGGUCAGCGACUUAUAUUCUGUAGCAAGGUUAACCGUAUAGGGGAGCCGGAGGGAAACCGAGUCUUAAUUGGGCGUUAAGUUGCAGGGUAUAGACCCGAAACCCGGUGAUCUAGCCAUGGGCAGGUUGAAGGUUGGGUAACACUAACUGGAGGACCGAACCGACUAAUGUUGAAAAAUUAGCGGAUGACCUGUGGCUGGGGGUGAAAGGCCAAUCAAACCGGGAGAUAGCUGGUUCUCCCCGAAAGCUAUUUAGGUAGCGCCUCGUGAAUUCAUCUCCGGGGGUAGAGCACUGUUUCGGCUAGGGGGCCAUCCCGGCUUACCAACCCGAUGCAAACUGCGAAUACCGGAGAAUGUUAUCACGGGAGACACACGGCGGGUGCUAACGUCCGUCGUGAAGAGGGAAACAACCCAGACCGCCAGCUAAGGUCCCAAAGUCAUGGUUAAGUGGGAAACGAUGUGGGAAGGCCCAGACAGCCAGGAUGUUGGCUUAGAAGCAGCCAUCAUUUAAAGAAAGCGUAAUAGCUCACUGGUCGAGUCGGCCUGCGCGGAAGAUGUAACGGGGCUAAACCAUGCACCGAAGCUGCGGCAGCGACGCUUAUGCGUUGUUGGGUAGGGGAGCGUUCUGUAAGCCUGUGAAGGUGGCCUGUGAGGGUUGCUGGAGGUAUCAGAAGUGCGAAUGCUGACAUAAGUAACGAUAAAGCGGGUGAAAAGCCCGCUCGCCGGAAGACCAAGGGUUCCUGUCCAACGUUAAUCGGGGCAGGGUGAGUCGACCCCUAAGGCGAGGCCGAAAGGCGUAGUCGAUGGGAAACGGGUUAAUAUUCCCGUACUUGGUGUUACUGCGAAGGGGGGACGGAGAAGGCUAUGUUGGCCGGGCGACGGUUGUCCCGGUUUAAGCGUGUAGGUGUGUGUUCCAGGUAAAUCCGGUUCACUUUAACACUGAGGCGUGACGACGAGGCACUACGGUGCUGAAGCAACAAAUG
RNAcentral lists this ribosomal RNA (1566 nucleotides) under Salmonella enterica subsp. enterica serovar Hadar str. SA20026260. RNAcentral describes it as "bacterial LSU rRNA". It matches the Rfam family "Bacterial large subunit ribosomal RNA", at positions 1 to 1599 of the family's 2925-position model. The record is from RNAcentral. Lineage: Bacteria; Pseudomonadati; Pseudomonadota; Gammaproteobacteria; Enterobacterales; Enterobacteriaceae.